UACGGGGGGUGCGAGCGUUGUCCGGAAUCACUGGGCGUAAAGGGCGCGUAGGUGGUCUGAUAAGGGUGUGGUGAAAGUCCGGGGCUCAACCCCGGAUCUGCCGUGCCGACUGUCAAACUCGAGGACUGUAGAGGCAGACGGAAUUCCGGGUGUAGCGGUGGAAUGCGUAGAGAUCCGGAGGAAGACCGGUGGCGAAGGCGGUCUGCUGGGCAGUUUCUGGACAGCUGAGGCGCGACAGCGUGGGGAGCAACAGGG
Molecule: ribosomal RNA, 255 nt
Filed under: uncultured bacterium
Lineage: Bacteria
Description: partial 16S ribosomal RNA
Rfam family: Bacterial small subunit ribosomal RNA
Source: RNAcentral